Molecule: ribosomal RNA, 438 nt
Filed under: uncultured Eubacteriales bacterium
Lineage: Bacteria; Bacillati; Bacillota; Clostridia; Eubacteriales
Description: bacterial SSU rRNA
Rfam family: Bacterial small subunit ribosomal RNA
Source: RNAcentral
GAUGAACGCUGGCGGCGUGCCUAACACAUGCAAGUCGGGCGAGAAACUUACAGAUGAAAUUACGAUGGAUUCAGUAGGCGGAAAGCGGCGGACGGGUGAGUAACGCGUAGGCAACCUGCCCCUUUCAGAGGGAUAGCCAUUGGAAACGGUGAUUAAUACCUCAUAAAGCUUUAUCUUCACAUGAAGGAGAAGCCAAAGAUUUAUCGGGAAGGGAUGGGCCUGCGUCUGAUUAGGUAGUUGGAGGGGUAACGGCCCACCAAGCCUACGAUCAGUAGCCGACCUGAGAGGGUAACCGGCCACAUUGGAACUGAGACACGGUCCAAACUCCUACGGGAGGCAGCAGUGGGGAAUAUUGCACAAUGGGCGAAAGCCUGAUGCAGCAACGCCGCGUGAAUGAUGAAGGCCCUAUGGGUCGUAAAGUUCUGAUCUGAGGGAAGA